This 322-nucleotide ribosomal RNA is filed under the name Sandonidae sp. Its description in RNAcentral is "SSU rRNA". It matches the Rfam family "Eukaryotic small subunit ribosomal RNA", at positions 637 to 955 of the family's 1831-position model. The record is from RNAcentral. Lineage: Eukaryota; Cercozoa; Glissomonadida; Sandonidae.
GAUUUCUGGCCUGAAGUAUUUUGCCAGCCACGGUUUCGUGUGUUAGUGCUUGAUACUCUGGCCAUCCUUCCAAUCGCCAUCUACUUCUCUUCAUUGAUUAGUAGGUGGUAUUGGAUCUUUUACUUUGAAAAAAUUAGAGUGUUUCAAGCAGGCUUUAUGCUAUGAAUACAUUAGCAUGGAAUAAUAAUUUAGGACUUCGGUUCUAUUUUGUUGGUUUCUAGGACUGAAGUAAUGAUUGAUAGGGAUAGUUGGGGGUGCUAGUAUUCAGCGGCCAGAGGUGAAAUUCUCGGAUUCGCUGAAGACUAACUUAUGCGAAAGCAUU